RNAcentral lists this ribosomal RNA (26 nucleotides) under Mucor nidicola. RNAcentral describes it as "partial 28S ribosomal RNA". Lineage: Eukaryota; Fungi; Mucoromycota; Mucoromycetes; Mucorales; Mucoraceae. The record is from RNAcentral.
AUCUGAAAUCAGGUGGGAUUACCCGC